AAUGGGCGAAAGCCUGACGCAGCGAUGCCGCGUGUACGAUGAAGGCCCUUGGGUCGUAAAGUACUGUCAACUGAGACGAAGCAUCCAGUUUAAGAGAUGGGGUGUGUGACGGUAUCAGUGGAGGAAGCGCCGGCUAACUCUGUGCCAGCAGCCGCGGCAAUACAGAGGGCGCAAACGUUGCUCGGAAUGACUGGGCGUAAAGAGCGUGUAGGCGGCGGGUUAAGUCGACUGUGAAAGCCCAUGGCUCAACCAUGGAAGUGCAGUCGAAACUGGCUCGCUUGAGUCCCGGAGAGGGUGGUAGAAUUCCUAGUGUAGAGGUGAAAUUCGUAGAUAUUAGGAGGAAUACCGGUGGCGAAGGCGACCACCUGGACGGGUACUGACGCUGAGACGCGAAAGCGUGGGGAGCAAACAGGAUU
Molecule: ribosomal RNA, 416 nt
Filed under: uncultured delta proteobacterium
Lineage: Bacteria; Deltaproteobacteria
Description: bacterial SSU rRNA
Rfam family: Bacterial small subunit ribosomal RNA
Source: RNAcentral